CGCGCGGCCCGGGAGCCCGCCUCGGAGCCGCGCGCCCCCGCCCGGCAGGCGGGAAGGACGCCCCGGGGACGCGCUGCUUUCUGAAAGCGCGGGCAGCGCGGGCCGCGCGGGGAAAGGCCGACUCUCACCCAGAAGCCAUCCCUGCUGGCUGAUAAUUGAGGAAACUAGCACGCCCUCCGUCUUGCCGGUAGCAUGCAGAGAAAUAAUUUCAGGAAGAAGGAUUCUCCGGAAGCUGAAUGGACAAGAGACAGCGGGGAGAAGCAGGGAGACGGGUGAGGAGGCUGAUGCCAUAGUCCAGAGGACAGCGGGGUGACAGCAAAGGCGGAGAAGUGUCCAGAUCCAAGACAAACUCCAGAGGGAGAGCCGAAAGGGUUGCCUGGAAGAUCAAGAUUUACCUAUUCUGAGUAUUUCACGCGAUGGCAUCCUACGGUGUGGGCUUUUGUGUCUGGCUUCCUUCACUGAGCGCGAAUGUUCCAAGGC
Molecule: long non-coding RNA, 480 nt
Organism: Neofelis nebulosa (Clouded leopard)
Lineage: Eukaryota; Metazoa; Chordata; Mammalia; Carnivora; Felidae
Exons: 3
Source: RefSeq, a predicted model, not a curated record